Molecule: ribosomal RNA, 703 nt
Filed under: Streptosporangium sp.
Lineage: Bacteria; Bacillati; Actinomycetota; Actinomycetes; Streptosporangiales; Streptosporangiaceae
Description: bacterial SSU rRNA
Rfam family: Bacterial small subunit ribosomal RNA
Source: RNAcentral
GCGAACGGGUGAGUAACACGUGAGUAACCUGCCCCCGACUCUGGGAUAAGCCCGGGAAACUGGGUCUAAUACCGGAUACGACACCUCCCCGCAUGGGGUGGGUGUGGAAAGUUUUUCGGUUGGGGAUGGACUCGCGGCCUAUCAGCUUGUUGGUGGGGUAAUGGCCUACCAAGGCGACGACGGGUAGCCGGCCUGAGAGGGCGACCGGCCACACUGGGACUGAGACACGGCCCAGACUCCUACGGGAGGCAGCAGUGGGGAAUAUUGCGCAAUGGGCGAAAGCCUGACGCAGCGACGCCGCGUGGGGGAUGACGGCCUUCGGGUUGUAAACCUCUUUCAGCAGGGACGAAGUUGACGUGUACCUGCAGAAGAAGCGCCGGCUAACUACGUGCCAGCAGCCGCGGUAAUACGUAGGGCGCAAGCGUUGUCCGGAAUUAUUGGGCGUAAAGAGCUCGUAGGUGGCUUGUCACGUCGGGUGUGAAAGCUUGGGGCUUAACUCCAGGUCUGCAUUCGAUACGGGCUGGCUAGAGGUAGGUAGGGGAGAACGGAAUUCCUGGUGUAGCGGUGAAAUGCGCAGAUAUCAGGAGGAACACCGGUGGCGAAGGCGGUUCUCUGGGCCUUACCUGACGCUGAGGAGCGAAAGCGUGGGGAGCGAACAGGAUUAGAUACCCUGGUAGUCCACGCUGUAAACGUUGGGCGCUAG